ACCGGUACGACAUUGCUCACAUUGCUUCCAGUUUUCCGCCAGCACUGCUGGCGGUUUUUU
Molecule: non-coding RNA, 60 nt
Filed under: Shimwellia blattae DSM 4481 = NBRC 105725
Lineage: Bacteria; Pseudomonadati; Pseudomonadota; Gammaproteobacteria; Enterobacterales; Enterobacteriaceae
Source: RNAcentral